This 253-nucleotide ribosomal RNA is filed under the name uncultured bacterium. Its description in RNAcentral is "partial 16S ribosomal RNA". It matches the Rfam family "Bacterial small subunit ribosomal RNA", at positions 524 to 776 of the family's 1533-position model. The record is from RNAcentral.
GACGAGCCACACAAACGUUAUUCGGAAUUACUGGGCUUAAAGGGUGCGUAGGCGGCACGGUAAGUGGGGUGUGAAAUCCCUCAGCUCAACUGAGGAACUGCGCUCCAAACUACCGUGCUUGAGUGAGACAGAGGUAAGCGGAACUUCGGGUGGAGCGGUGAAAUGCGUUGAUAUCCGAAGGAACACCGGUGGCGAAAGCGGCUUACUGGGUCUCAACUGACGCUGAUGCACGAAAGCUAGGGUAGCAAACGGG